RNAcentral lists this microRNA precursor (81 nucleotides) under Dasypus novemcinctus (nine-banded armadillo). RNAcentral describes it as "miRNA (ENSDNOG00000049356.1)". The record is from RNAcentral. Lineage: Eukaryota; Metazoa; Chordata; Mammalia; Cingulata; Dasypodidae.
GGCAUGGAAUCCUGUGGCAUCGAAACUACCCUUAACUCCAUCAUGAAGUGUGAUGUGGACAUUGACAAGGGCCUCCAUGCC